UCCCAAAUGGUGUCCAAACCAUAUAAAUGU
RNAcentral lists this non-coding RNA (30 nucleotides) under Mus musculus (house mouse). The record is from RNAcentral. Lineage: Eukaryota; Metazoa; Chordata; Mammalia; Rodentia; Muridae.